ACCGAAAUCCUGCAACCAAAGUCCUGCACCCAAAGCCCUGAUGCAAAAUCCCACGCCCAAAGUCCUGCACCAAAGUGCCGCAUUCAAAGUCCUGCACCCAAAGUCGUGCACCCAAAGCCCUGCACCGAAGUCCUGCACCCAAAGCCCCAUACUCAGUUCUGCACCAAAGUGCUGCACCCAAAAUCCUGCAAUCAAAGUCCUGCACCAAAUCCUGUGCCAAAGCCUUGUGCCAACCUCCUGCACCCAAAGCCCUGCACUCAAAUCCUGCACCAAAGCCCUGCAGCCCAAAUCCUGCACCGAAAUCCCACACUCAAACCCUGCAGCAAAGCCCUGCACCCCAAAUCCCAUACCCCGUUCUGCACCGAAGCGCUGCACCCAAAGCGCUGCGUUGCAGUCCUGCGCUGCAAUCCUGGGCCAAAAGCAGGUGCCAAAGUCCUGCACCAAAGCCCUGCAGCGAAGUCCCACAUGCAAAAUCCUGCAUCCAAAAUCCUGCAACCAAAGCCAUGCAGGAAAACCCCACAGCCAAAGUCCUGCACCAAACCAUGCAGCAAAGCUGCAGCAAAGCCCUACACCCCCAAUGCUGCACCCAAAGCACUGCACCCAAAGCCCUGCACCGAACAUCCUGCAACCAAAGCCAUGCACUGAACAUCCUGCAACCAAAGCCAUGCAGGGAAACCCCACAGCCAAAGUCCUGCACCAAACCAUGCAACAAAGCCCUACACCCCCAAUCCUGCACCCCCAAUGCUGCACCCAAAGCCCUGCACCGAACAUCCUGCAACCAAAGGCAUGCAGGGAAACCCCACAGCCAAACUCCUGC
This 817-nucleotide long non-coding RNA is filed under the name Gallus gallus (chicken). RNAcentral describes it as "lncRNA (ENSGALG00010009706.1)". Lineage: Eukaryota; Metazoa; Chordata; Aves; Galliformes; Phasianidae. The record is from RNAcentral.